Molecule: ribosomal RNA, 331 nt
Filed under: uncultured eukaryote
Lineage: Eukaryota
Description: partial 18S ribosomal RNA
Rfam family: Eukaryotic small subunit ribosomal RNA
Source: RNAcentral
CCCUUAGAUGUUCUGGGCCGCACGCGCGCUACACUGUUCGACGCAGCGAGUCUUAACCUUGACCGAAAGGUUUGGGUAAUCUUCAGCAAAGUCGAACGUGAUGGGGAUCGAUCAUUGCAAUUAUUGAUCGUGAACGAGGAAUCCCUAGUAAGUGCAAGUCAUCAGCUUGCGCUGAUUACGUCCCUGCCCUUUGUACACACCGCCCGUCGCUACUACCGAUUGAAUGGUUUAGUGAGAUCUCUGGAUUGACGCUGGCUAGGGGGCGACCCUUGGCCAGACUGUUGAGAAACUGCUCAAACUUGAUCAUUUAGAGGAAGUAAAAGUCGUAACA